RNAcentral lists this ribosomal RNA (500 nucleotides) under uncultured bacterium. Its description in RNAcentral is "partial 16S ribosomal RNA". It matches the Rfam family "Bacterial small subunit ribosomal RNA", at positions 28 to 507 of the family's 1533-position model. The record is from RNAcentral.
GACGAACGCUGGCGGCGUGCUUAACACAUGCAAGUCGAACGGGCCUGUCUUCUUUUUUGGGGGGUGGGUUGAGUGGCGAACGGGUGAGUAUCACGUGAGUAACCUGCCCUUCGGUCCUGGAUAACCGCUUGAAAGGGCGGCUAAUACGGGGUGGUCCGGUUGGUCCGCAUGGGCUGGUCGGGAUAGAUUCACUGUUUUUGGUGUUUCGGCGGGGGAUGGGCUCGCGGCCUAUCAGCUUGUUGGUGGGGUGAUGGCCUACCAAGGCGGUGACGGGUAGCCGGCCGGAGAGGGUGGGCGGCCACACUGGGACUGAGAUACGGCCCAGACGCCUGCGGGAGGCAGCAGUGGGGGGGAGUGCACAAUGGGCGGAAGCCUGAUGCAGCGACGUCGCGUGAGGGAUGGAGGCCUUCGGGUUGUGAACCUCUGUUUCCGGUGGUGAAGGCCCUGUCCGUGUGGUGGGGUUGACGGUAGCCGGGGAUGAAGCGCCGGCUAACUACGUG